UACGGAGGAUGCGAGCGUUAUCCGGAUUUAUUGGGUUUAAAGGGUGCGUAGGCGGCCGAGUAAGUCAGCGGUGAAAUUUUGCAGCUUAACUGUAACAGUGCCGUUGAUACUGCAUGGCUAGGAUUUGGUUGCUGUGGGUGGAAUGUGUGGUGUAGCGGUGAAAUGCUUAGAUAUCACACAGAAUAUCAAUUGCGAAGGCAGCUCACAAGGCCAAGAUUGACGCUGAGGCACGAAAGUGUGGGGAUCAAACA
This 251-nucleotide ribosomal RNA is filed under the name uncultured prokaryote. Its description in RNAcentral is "partial 16S ribosomal RNA". It matches the Rfam family "Bacterial small subunit ribosomal RNA", at positions 524 to 774 of the family's 1533-position model. The record is from RNAcentral.